This 2918-nucleotide long non-coding RNA is filed under the name Homo sapiens (human). Its description in RNAcentral is "HSALNT0301359". The record is from RNAcentral. Lineage: Eukaryota; Metazoa; Chordata; Mammalia; Primates; Hominidae.
GUUCCCCGGCUUUGCCGCGCGGAGGAAGUCCCGGUUACGCAGAGCGCGCUGGGGCAGGGCUGACCUUCCCCUUUCUCUACUUCACUGGCCUCCUCCAGACGUGGUGGUUGCGCCCUUUCGGCCUCGCUUUCCGUUUUUUGGCUUCAUCCCCUAGAUCUGCAAACAGUUCCUCGUGUUUCUUCCGUUAGCCGGGAAACGCGAACUGCAGCGUUUGGGACCCGGGUUUGCGCGUGUGGAAAGCAAAAGGGGUUACUCUGCUGGAGUUCGACAUUGCAAAUAAAGGUCUUUAUCCCCGGCGGUUCUACAAAAUUAGUUCUGCAGGGAUUCUGGUUGAAAGAAGCGUUAAAGUGGGCCUUGUAGGAGUCAGCAAUAAUCCAAUUUUACAUGGGUGCAGGUGGCUGCCUGUGUCUAGCGCUUUCACACAUCUCAUAUCUUCAUCCACGCCGUGGGUAUUUUUUUUCCACGGUGUGUUUCUGUUGCUGCCUCCAGUAUAUUGCUUAAUCAUCCUACCUGGUAAUUAUUUAUGCAUUUUUCUCCUACUCUCGACUCAGCUCCUAGGGAAUAAAAACACAUUAACUUAUCUUUGUGCCCACAGCACCCACCAAGUAUUUCCAUCACGUAAUACUGCCUCUAGAAAGGCAGGAGGAGAAGCAGUCACGCUAAGGAUCUAGGCAAGCCAGAUCUUUUGUCCGGUUUUAGGAGGUGGCCAGCCCUUACUUAUUCCACAAGUGUUUUUCCAGAAACUCAGACUUGAUAUUGCCUCAAGUCCAAGGCAGUGUGCUUCCCCCACUCACAUAUCACUAAUAGUAGCUAACAUUUGUUCAGAUCCCUGUAUGUACUCUGCCACUGUUUUAAAUGUUACACCCGGGUUACCUCAUUUAAUCCUUACAACUGCCCUGUGAGGUAGGUACUAUUAUUAUCUCUACUUUGUAGAUGGGAUUCACCGAGGCACAGACGGUUAAAAAACCUAGCCCAAAUAACACAAAUAAACAGCAGAGCAUGCAGUGCUAGAGUCUGCAUUCUUAACAAUUGCUAUAUUCUCCCUCUCCGUGAAUGUGGGCUGAGAUGCUGAAACAGGCAUGUGCUGUGGGGGAGAAAAAGCUUUGUCCAACCAAGUGCUUUCUAAUGUCCAGAUGACAUAGAGCUAGGAUUUCCUAAUGUCUUUUUUCCCCUAUUUUUCUCUCCAUUUCAGGGUUGAGUUUGUGCAUCGAUUGUGAACACAACAGGCAGCAGGCUAUAAUGGUGGUCCUGGCUGGAGUAGUUUUCACAGACUUCAGUAAUCUGUGGAGAUGAACGGGCAGUUCUCUGUAGUUUUCACAGAUCACUGCCAGUUCGUUUUGAGGCCUUCAGGAGUGAAGACCUGGCUCAUCAUCACUCUUUGUUGUUUUGUUAAAUUUAUUUACACCCUACUUUAUUCCAGAGGAAAGGAUUUAACGUAGUUUACAUAAAUGUGUACAUCAGGGUAAAUUAAAAAUAAGUACAGAGAAAAAUAGGACAAAAGAAAACCGUGAGUGUGAAAGAUAAGAUUAAGCCAGCAGUUUUGUAUGCAAAAUGCAUGGUGUAAGGUCCUAUUGGUUUGCUGGAGGUAGGCCACACAUAUGACUCUCAGUUUUCUAGCAACCAAGAAAAAGAUCAGUUGCAAUCGGAGUAGGUGUUUUGGCUAAGCUGGAACUAGGACUUGAAUAUAGCAGCUUGUAGAGUUAUACCACUUGCCCAAAUCUCUUCCAUGAGCCUCUUUAAGUGUAACAGAAUGCCUGGGAGCACGUAAAUGCUCCUACUUAGAUGCCUACUUAGCCUCUAAUUUUCAUGGGGCCCAUGAAUCCCAUGAAAAAGAACUUUGAACCCUGUCCACAAUUAGAGUUCAGGUAUACGCAGACAUGUUUAAAGACAAGGGACACCCAAAGGAAAGAUUGCACAGAGAGAAAGUGAGCAUCCGAGAGAAAAUCACCACAAGUGAGGCAGAGGGAGGCCGGUCUCAGCAGAGUUUUGGAGGUCGUGAGAAGAAGAGGUAGGAGAUAGGAGAGUGGUUCCGAGUACUUGCCUGCUGAUGUUACCUUCUCCACCCCCACCAGGUUUUCCAGUGCCUGGAGUCUUGGGCAGGAAUGGGCCACUGUAAGAAAGAGCUUUAUCACUAGGGCCUCAGCCAACUUUUCUGUGGGAUAUCCCUCCAAAAUAAUUAAGAGUUCAGAAUGCUUCAGAUUUUGAAGUGAAACUGGUACAUAUAUUAAGUGUUACUUAAUAACCCGAUAGUUUCUAGGGCAGCUCACCAUAAUCCCAAGUAUUAGCCACCACCCUCACCCCCUUCAGAGUAAAAUGUGUUUCCUGAAGGAAGUUGGGAAAAUGAAGAAAAAAAAUACAAAAAUCACCUAUAAUCUUACCAGUCAUAGAUGGCAGUUUUCCUGUCUUAUUUCUGAAUAAUGGUUGUUAAACAUUUGCCAGCACACCAUAAGGCUUAGGGAGGCAUCUGGGUCAUGCAUGUUAAUAUCCUUGGGUAAUUCCAGAAAUCUCUAUGAAGGGAAACUCCUGUUAUUUAUCUAGACUUCCUGAUUGCAAGGGGUUUGGGCAUCAUGAUUUAGGGGUCUUAAUAAAAUUAUUAUUUUAUUUUUACUAAUAGAUAAUGUCUGUGCCUAUCAGAUAAAGGCAAACCAGUGCUCAGAGGAACCCAACCAUCUCUGAAUUGAGACCAGAGAGCUGUCUCUAUGGAUAGUCCUUAGAGAAGGCAUUUCGGAACACAGUAAACAGCAGCCUGGUGACUCCGAUUACAGGGCCAGUUGCCUUUGUUACAAUAAAAGCAAGUCAUCUACACAGAUUUUUCCUACCAGGAAGAGCAUGUGCUGACCAACAGACAUGAAUUUCAGCCUGGUAGUUACAACAUUCACAGACAGGAGUUUCACUCGUUGCCCAGGCUGGAGUGCAAC